This 304-nucleotide ribosomal RNA is filed under the name uncultured bacterium. RNAcentral's name for it is "partial 16S ribosomal RNA". It matches the Rfam family "Bacterial small subunit ribosomal RNA", at positions 506 to 807 of the family's 1533-position model. The record is from RNAcentral.
CAGCAGCCGCCGCGGGAAUACAGAGGGUGCAAGCGUUAAUCGGAAUUACUGGGCGUAAAGCGCGCGUAGGUGGUUUGUUAAGUUGGAUGUGAAAGCCCCGGGCUCAACCUGGGAACUGCAUCCAAAACUGGCAAGCUAGAGUACGGUAGAGGGUGGUGGAAUUUCCUGUGUAGCGGUGAAAUGCGUAGAUAUAGGAAGGAACACCAGUGGCGAAGGCGACCACCUGGACUGAUACUGACACUGAGGUGCGAAAGCGUGGGGAGCAAACAGGAUUAGAUACCCCCGUAGUCCCUGUCUCUUAUAC